Molecule: ribosomal RNA, 468 nt
Filed under: uncultured bacterium
Lineage: Bacteria
Description: partial 16S ribosomal RNA
Rfam family: Bacterial small subunit ribosomal RNA
Source: RNAcentral
GACGAACGCUGGCGGCGUGCUUAACACAUGCAAGUCGAACGGAAAGGCCCUGCUUUUGUGGGGUGCUCGAGUGGCGAACGGGUGAGUAACACGUGAGUAACCUGCCCUUGACUUUGGGAUAACUUCAGGAAACUGGGGCUAAUACCGGAUAGGAGCUCCUGCUGCAUGGUGGGGGUUGGAAAGUUUCGGCGGUCGGGGAUGGACUCGCGGCUUAUCAGCUUGUUGGUAGGGUAGUGGCUUACCAAGGCUUUGACGGGUAGCCGGCCUGAGAGGGUGACCGGCCACAUUGGGACUGAGAUACGGCCCAGACUCCUACGGGAGGCAGCAGUGGGGAAUAUUGCACAAUGGGCGGAAGCCUGAUGCAGCAACGCCGCGUGCGGGAUGACGGCCUUCGGGUUGUAAACCGCUUUCGCCUGUGACGAAGCGUGAGUGACGGUAAUGGGUAAAGAAGCACCGGCUAACUACGUG